RNAcentral lists this ribosomal RNA (232 nucleotides) under uncultured bacterium. Its description in RNAcentral is "partial 16S ribosomal RNA". It matches the Rfam family "Bacterial small subunit ribosomal RNA", at positions 102 to 334 of the family's 1533-position model. The record is from RNAcentral.
CACGGGUGAGUAACACGUAUCCAACCUGCCGUCUACUCUUGGGCAGCCUUCUGAAGGAAGAUUAAUACAAGAUGGCAUCAUGAGUCCGCAUGUUCACAUGAUUAAAGGUAUUCCGGUAGACGAUGGGGAUGCGUUCCAUUAGAUAGUAGGCGGGGUAACGGCCCACCUAGUCUUCGAUGGAUAGGGGUUCUGAGAGGAAGGUCCCCCACAUUGGAACUGAGACACGGUCCAA